Molecule: ribosomal RNA, 614 nt
Filed under: uncultured fungus
Lineage: Eukaryota; Fungi
Description: LSU rRNA
Rfam family: Eukaryotic large subunit ribosomal RNA
Source: RNAcentral
GCAUAUCAAUAAGCGGAGGAAAAGAAACCAACAGGGAUUGCCCUAGUAACGGCGAGUGAAGCAGCAAUAGCUCAAAUUUGAAAUCUGGCGUCUUCGACGUCCGAGUUGUAAUUUGUAGAGGAUGCUUCUGAGUGGCCACCGACCUAAGUUCCUUGGAACAGGACGUCAUAGAGGGUGAGAAUCCCGUAUGCGGUCGGAAAGGCGCUCUAUACGUAGCUCCUUCGACGAGUCGAGUUGUUUGGGAAUGCAGCUCUAAAUGGGAGGUAAAUUUCUUCUAAAGCUAAAUAUUGGCCAGAGACCGAUAGCGCUCAAGUAGAGUGAUCGAAAGAUGAAAAGCACUUUGGAAAGAGAGUCAAACAGCACGUGAAAUUGUUGAAAGGGAAGCGCUUGCAGCCAGACUUGCUUGCAGUUGCUCAUCCGGGCUUUUGCCCGGUGCACUCUUCUGCAGGCAGGCCAGCAUCAGUUUGGGCGGUAGGAUAAAGGUCUCUGUCACGUACCUCUCUUCGGGGAGGCCUUAUAGGGGAGGCGACAUACUACCAGCCUGGACUGAGGUCCGCGCAUCUGCUAGGAUGCUGGCGUAAUGGCUGUAAGCGGCCCGUCUUGAAACACGGACC